This 84-nucleotide non-coding RNA is filed under the name uncultured Blautia sp. RNAcentral describes it as "Cyclic di-GMP-I riboswitch". It matches the Rfam family "c-di-GMP-I riboswitch aptamer". Rfam says of the family: GEMM was predicted in a large-scale screen for bacterial structured RNA regulatory elements. Genes associated with GEMM are involved in a diverse array of functions, including chemotaxis regulation, signal transduction, secretion and chitin. The record is from RNAcentral. Lineage: Bacteria; Bacillati; Bacillota; Clostridia; Lachnospirales; Lachnospiraceae.
AAUAAAGGCAAACCUGUUGAAAAGCAGGGACGCAAAGCCAAGGGUCUAAGAUCAGCAUUGCUGAUUAUGACAGCCGGUUGCCAC